Molecule: long non-coding RNA, 224 nt
Organism: Ipomoea nil (Japanese morning glory)
Lineage: Eukaryota; Viridiplantae; Streptophyta; Magnoliopsida; Solanales; Convolvulaceae
Exons: 3
Source: RefSeq, a predicted model, not a curated record
AAUGACUUGUUAUUGCUAAAGGAUCUCUGGGAUUUUUUGUUUCUUAGGCUUGAAUUCUAGGAGAAAUUACUGACAGUUUCCCAUUGGCACAGUUGAGGAAUACCACAUUGUUUCCCGAAGUUUGGACCUGGUCAAAUUCAGCAGCAUGGAUUUGCAAGGAAUGUGGACUGGUCGCUUGUUAAUUAUGAAAAUGUUGAAGGAAAUCCUAUUAUUACUGUCGAGCC